GAGUGAGAGGGAAGAGCUCAUCAUUGGAAUCUGGCAGUGUUGCACUGUCCGAGUUGUAGAUGAGGAGUAGUCCGUCUGGACUGCAUGGCGUCCAAGUACAAUAGGCCGUCAGUGGGACAUCAUAGAGGGUGACAAUCCCGUCCUUGACGCUAAUGUGCAAGUCUAUUACGAUGGCUAUCUCAGAGAGUCGAGCAGUUUGGGAUUUGCUGCUUAAACAUGGGAGGUAGAUUCCUUCUAAAGCUAAAUACAGGCGAGAGACCGAUAGAGAACAAGUACCGCAAGGGAAAGAUGAAAUAGCACUCUGUGAAGGGAGUCAAAAGGCGUGAAAUUGUUGCGAGAGAAGCGAUUCAAGUCAGCGUAGCUAGGCCCAUCAAGCGUCUUCGCUUUGGACUAGCUUUGCCAGCGGUCUUGUCCCUUAAAGAGACUUGACUUGUAAUAUGUCCAGCCUGGCGUGCACAGGCAGCCCCUUCUGGGGGCCAGUGGCAUGGCUGGUGGAAUGGCUUGCAAUCGACCCGUCUUGAAACACGGACCAAGGAGUCUAACAUGUAUGCGAGUAUAAGGGUGGCAAACCCGUAUGCGCAAUGAAAGUGAUUUUCGGUGAUUGAGAAUGGCCUGAUGACCAGACAAGCAAUACAUGUCCCUCGUACGGCCAUUGCCCAAGUUCCGUGGUAGAUCCCACGAACAUGGAGUUGGAGCAUACAUGCUAGGACCCGAAAGAUGGUGAACUAUGCCUGGACAAAGCGAAGCCAAAGGAAACUCUGGUGGAGGCUUGUAGCGAUUCUGACGUGCAAAUCGAUCGUCUGAUCUGGGUAUAGGGGCGAAAGACUA
This 828-nucleotide ribosomal RNA is filed under the name Cantharellus flavus. RNAcentral's name for it is "eukaryotic LSU rRNA". It matches the Rfam family "Eukaryotic large subunit ribosomal RNA", at positions 91 to 933 of the family's 3401-position model. The record is from RNAcentral. Lineage: Eukaryota; Fungi; Basidiomycota; Agaricomycetes; Cantharellales; Hydnaceae. RNAcentral also lists the same sequence under 1 other name.